RNAcentral lists this ribosomal RNA (404 nucleotides) under Actinomycetes bacterium. RNAcentral's name for it is "Actinobacteria bacterium partial 16S ribosomal RNA". It matches the Rfam family "Bacterial small subunit ribosomal RNA", at positions 355 to 776 of the family's 1533-position model. Lineage: Bacteria; Bacillati; Actinomycetota; Actinomycetes. The record is from RNAcentral.
UGGGGAAUAUUGGACAAUGGGCGCAAGCCUGAUCCAGCCAUGCCGCGUGUGUGAUGAAGGCCCUAGGGUUGUAAAGCUCUUUCACCGGUGAAGAUAAUGACGGUAACCGGAGAAGAAGCCCCGGCUAACUUCGUGCCAGCAGCCGCGGUAAUACGAAGGGGGCUAGCGUUGUUCGGAUUUACUGGGCGUAAAGCGCACGUAGGCGGACUUUUAAGUCAGGGGUGAAAUCCCGGGGCUCAACCCCGGAACUGCCUUUGAUACUGGAAGUCUGGAGUAUGGUAGAGGUGAGUGGAAUUCCGAGUGUAGAGGUGAGAUUCGUAGAUAUUCGGAGGAACACCAGUGGCGAAGGCGGCUCACUGGACCAUUACUGACGCUGAGGUGCGAAAGCGGGAGGAGCAAACAGG